This 30-nucleotide ribosomal RNA is filed under the name Rhinocladiella atrovirens. RNAcentral describes it as "partial 18S ribosomal RNA". RNAcentral also lists the same sequence under 3 other names. The record is from RNAcentral. Lineage: Eukaryota; Fungi; Ascomycota; Eurotiomycetes; Chaetothyriales; Herpotrichiellaceae.
UCCGUAGGGGAACCUGCGGAGGGAUCAUUA